RNAcentral lists this ribosomal RNA (453 nucleotides) under uncultured bacterium. Its description in RNAcentral is "bacterial SSU rRNA". It matches the Rfam family "Bacterial small subunit ribosomal RNA", at positions 32 to 507 of the family's 1533-position model. The record is from RNAcentral.
AAUCAACGCUGGCGGCGUGCCUAACACAUGCAAGUCGAACGAGAACGGUUCUUUCGGGAAUUUAGUAAAGUGGCGAACGGGUGAGUAACGCGUGGAUGAUCUGCCCUGAAGCGGGGAUAACUCGGGGAAACCCGGGCUAAUACCGCAUAAUCCCUACGGGGGAAAGGUUUUCGAAUCGCUUUGGGAGGAGUCCGCGUCCGAUUAGCUGGUUGGCGAGGUAAGAGCUCACCAAGGCGACGAUUGGUAGCCGGUCUGAGAGGACGGACGGCCACACUGGAACUGAGACACGGUCCAGACUCCUACGGGAGGCAGCAGUGGGGAAUUUUGGGCAAUGGGGGCAACCCUGACCCAGCAACGCCGCGUGGAGGAAGAAGGUUUUCGGAUCGUAAACUCCUGUCCCGAGGGACGAAGCAAGUGACGGUACCUCGGGAGGAAGCCCCGGCUAACUCCGUG